GUACUCACCUGGCAGGGGAGAUGCCGUGAUCACGAAAGUGGUCUUCCUGGGGUGAGGCUUAUCCACUGCACUCCAGACGUGCUGACCCCUGCAAUUUCCCCAAAAGUGGGAAACUCGGCUGCGUCAUCUGUGGUCAUGGGGGCUGUGUUCAUGCUUUCCCCUG
Small nuclear RNA from Homo sapiens (human), 163 nucleotides. The record is from Ensembl. Lineage: Eukaryota; Metazoa; Chordata; Mammalia; Primates; Hominidae.